Molecule: small nuclear RNA, 24 nt
Filed under: Arabidopsis thaliana (thale cress)
Lineage: Eukaryota; Viridiplantae; Streptophyta; Magnoliopsida; Brassicales; Brassicaceae
Description: snRNA_06928
Source: RNAcentral
AAGCACCUAGAGACUUGGGUUAAA